AGGGGGAAGUGUUUGAGUGGUACAGCCCUUUUGGAGGAUGUGUGCCAUGCUAGUGGGCUCUGAGAGACUUACCUCAUCCUAAUUCCUGUUUACUCUCCGUUGUGUGCUGACAUUUGAAGAGGUGAGCGCUCAGCUUCCGGCACCUGUCUCUGUGCCUGUCACUGCUGCUAUGCCUCUCCACCAUGCUGGAGUCUGGCACAAGGUCCUGGAAGUAGAACUCAGAUUGUUUGGCUUGAUGGCAGGCGCCCUCAGACACUGAGCUACCGUCUUAAUUCAGAGCUUGGUUUCACAGAAUUUUGAAGGAGAAGAAUUUGUUCUGGAAGGGAGUGCUAGAACUUUGGGAAACAGAAAGCAGUUACUGCAAAAUGUCACCUUAACCUCUUGUGUGAUCACCUCUUCUAUAGUCCAAGCUGCUGAAGAAGGCCUUUUACAGUUCACUCC
Long non-coding RNA from Mus musculus (house mouse), 441 nucleotides. RefSeq annotates it as predicted gene, 41805. The transcript is spliced from 3 exons. The record is from RefSeq and is a predicted model, not a curated record. NCBI's taxonomy places the organism in Eukaryota, Metazoa, Chordata, Mammalia, Rodentia, Muridae.